ACAGUUUAACAUUUUCUUUAGUGGUGCAACCUUGUUCUGAGAUUACAGGGAAUGCUGAGUUUUAUUAGGGUUCUUUCAACAAACUCAUUUAAUUGUUGCUGCCCCUUAGCUAGUGCUGAGUCACUCUCAAACUUCACAGCAUUCCACGACAGCUCAUCCUUCUUGACUUUCCUUUUUUUUUCCCUUUUCCUUUUUCCUUUUUUAAGUUCUCUUAAUAUUUUUUAUUCCCAACAGACUUGUCUUUGGACAAAAUUGAGAAGAACUCAUAAACUUGGCUUCCUCGCUUCUGCUCCUCAGACGCGCGUGGAUGAUUUGAAGAUAUUAGCCUAACAAGAUGGAAGCAGGUUUAAAAUUUUACAUAAGAAGUUACCUUUUUCAGCUGGUCCUAUAGUACCCCUCCUCAGGAAUGUCUCCCCAGUGCAAGGACAAAGACUGAAGAGACUGCUAUAUUGAUGGACUCUCAAGCCAACUAUGAAGUUGAAACAAAGAAAGUGAUCACCUGAAGACACCUCCUCUGCUAAGAAACACCCCCAAAUUGUGCAGCUUCUGCCACUAGAACUCUCAGAACAAGAGACAAUCUUUUCAAGAAACAGAAAAACUCAAUAAUGACAUCUAGAUUUUCAUGAGCCAAGAACUUUCCCUUCCUCAUGUGUAUUCCUCUGUUUGUACUUAAAUUCAUGUGACAUUCAUUUUUUUCCUAGUAUGGAUAUGCUUAUUAAUGCACUUGUUUCAAAAUCCCAAAUUGCACAAAUGUGUUAAUAUUUUAAGAAACAAAAUGAAUCCUACAAGGAGAAUGAUUUUUAGCCACACAUAGGGUUGGAUCUUGAGAGUGACCUACAGAAUAAAAGUACUUUUAAAAUAAAGUAGUCAGAGGCUAUUCAAAGGGUAAAAUAAUCAUAGUACCACAUUGGUCCACUUGACACUAACCAAUCGAUCAUUUUUUUUUAAUCAAGAAAGCUAGAUUCUAUCAGAUAAAAUCACU
RNAcentral lists this long non-coding RNA (982 nucleotides) under Homo sapiens (human). Its description in RNAcentral is "mir-100-let-7a-2-mir-125b-1 cluster host gene". Lineage: Eukaryota; Metazoa; Chordata; Mammalia; Primates; Hominidae. The record is from RNAcentral.